Long non-coding RNA from Ciona intestinalis (vase tunicate), 1000 nucleotides. RefSeq lists it as uncharacterized. The record is from RefSeq and is a predicted model, not a curated record. Lineage: Eukaryota; Metazoa; Chordata; Ascidiacea; Phlebobranchia; Cionidae.
CCACUGUCCCCCUCUGGAACGAACUUCCGAGCAUAUCAGCGAAGGGAAGGAACAUAUAGUUUAUAAACUCUGCGUGAAAUGACAAAAUACAGUGCUGAUCUGCAACGAACGCUGUACUGUUCGUAUUUAUAGACCCGAUUUCUACGUUUUUCUCUGUACAUCAUGUGACUGGGCCGGCAUCAUGAGACGGUAUUUCCGACCACGAGACGAAUUGUUGUACACGUGGAACUACCAAUGCUGCACGUGCAACAUUUUGUAAUGCAAUCGUAGUGUUCUAUAUUUUCACUUUAUUCAGUUUGUAUUUUGCUGACUUGGUGUACCGUUUAAAUAUUAUUAUUGCACGAGGCGUGCAUUUGUAGGUAACAUUGUAAAUUCGAAAGCACACUGUAACAAAAACAAUUAUAUUAGUCACAACAACAAUAUAAAAAUAAAGCUGUUUGCCUGUAUAGUUCCAUACUUUUUGAAUGUUUAAUAAGUCAUUUGAGUUAUACCGUUUAAACCCACGACCUGAGCGCCUGUUAUAAGGCAGACGUAAACAAGGAGUGACGUCACACAUAUUUUCUCAGCGCGUGUUUUGUUCACUAUCACGAGACUGUAGUGGCGUGAGGCGAUUCAAUCGAAUGAUGAAAUAGUGAAUAGUAUUUUGUAGUAUAACUGAUUUUUGACGUCAUGCCGCAAAAUAACAAAUGGACACGUGUACUAACUGACAUGCAAUUUAGCCAUUGUUAUUUAUUGAGUAAUUACUGCUAAGAAAACCAGCACAUACACGCUUUAAGUUUAACGUGUUAAAAGGUGCACCAAGCAAAAUGCACUGGCACAUUAGUUUAUAAUUAUACGGACCUGAACAUAAUGUUCUUACCCAAUUAUUGUUUUCACGUAGAUUUCCACGUAUACCAGUACUGUGAAUCCGAGUCUGUAUAGCAAUUCAGCAUGACCCUUCAUCGGAAUGUACCACUUUUAGUUUAAUAAAAACAAACAGAAACCGCGCUGUUCAACGCAA